This 783-nucleotide ribosomal RNA is filed under the name Salmonella enterica subsp. enterica serovar Kentucky. RNAcentral describes it as "partial 23S ribosomal RNA". It matches the Rfam family "Bacterial large subunit ribosomal RNA", at positions 975 to 1757 of the family's 2925-position model. Lineage: Bacteria; Pseudomonadati; Pseudomonadota; Gammaproteobacteria; Enterobacterales; Enterobacteriaceae. The record is from RNAcentral.
UCACGGGAGACACACGGCGGGUGCUAACGUCCGUCGUGAAGAGGGAAACAACCCAGACCGCCAGCUAAGGUCCCAAAGUCAUGGUUAAGUGGGAAACGAUGUGGGAAGGCCCAGACAGCCAGGAUGUUGGCUUAGAAGCAGCCAUCAUUUAAAGAAAGCGUAAUAGCUCACUGGUCGAGUCGGCCUGCGCGGAAGAUGUAACGGGGCUAAACCAUGCACCGAAGCUGCGGCAGCGACGCUGAUGCGUUGUUGGGUAGGGGAGCGUUCUGUAAGCCUGUGAAGGUGGCCUGUGAGGGUUGCUGGAGGUAUCAGAAGUGCGAAUGCUGACAUAAGUAACGAUAAAGCGGGUGAAAAGCCCGCUCGCCGGAAGACCAAGGGUUCCUGUCCAACGUUAAUCGGGGCAGGGUGAGUCGACCCCUAAGGCGAGGCCGAAAGGCGUAGUCGAUGGGAAACGGGUUAAUAUUCCCGUACUUGGUGUUACUGCGAAGGGGGGACGGAGAAGGCUAUGUUGGCCGGGCGACGGUUGUCCCGGUUUAAGCGUGUAGGUGUGUGUUCCAGGUAAAUCCGGUUCACUUUAACACUGAGGCGUGAUGACGAGGCACUACGGUGCUGAAGCAACAAAUGCCCUGCUUCCAGGAAAAGCCUCUAAGCAUCAGGUAACAUCAAAUCGUACCCCAAACCGACACAGGUGGUCAGGUAGAGAAUACCAAGGCGCUUGAGAGAACUCGGGUGAAGGAACUAGGCAAAAUGGUGCCGUAACUUCGGGAGAAGGCACGCUGACAC